This 1334-nucleotide long non-coding RNA is filed under the name Salmo salar (Atlantic salmon). RNAcentral describes it as "lncRNA (ENSSSAG00000107520.1, ENSSSAG00000121627.1)". The record is from RNAcentral. Lineage: Eukaryota; Metazoa; Chordata; Actinopteri; Salmoniformes; Salmonidae.
GUGAUUGGAGCCACCUGGGCUCAGGGUAUUUAACCAACUGCUCCACUAACCUCUCGCUGGUCUGGCUCCUCGUUGAGCUUCUGGCUCGCUGGGCUUGCUCUCGCUUUCGCCCUGCUCCUCCAGCACUCAAACCCGCCAGAGCCAGAAACCAUGACAUUGAAGAUGACACCCAAGUACCUCUUUUGACACGCUUAUCACGUCCCAUGACAGACUUUGCUUGCGUUCCAGGCCAUCAACAUAACAUAGAUGUUGAAUUACAUCAACCAAUGGACUUGUGUGCCACAUCAUCGACUGCACAGUCAGGCGCCAGACUACUAAAUCAUAUGUUAGCUGAUAUGUUAAAUACCUAUCCAAAUGUUGUAUAUCUGUCUGGUGUCUCAGCCAGGAACGUGACCUGCCUGACCAAUCCUAACUACUCCAACAAACAUGUAGGACUUCCACCCUCAAUUCUUAAUUUAGAGAUGGGCCUGAUCCAGGACCAACCCCUAGUCCAGCUAUUAAAUCUGCCCAUUGCCCUCAAGUACUUGGAUGCAGGUUUUCUGCUUAUACAAGUUUUCUACCUGAGUGUAAAGAUUCACUGAUUGGCCAGUCCACCCACCUGCUAUCCAAUUUUCCUGAUUAAGAGAGAACGAGAGCCAGCAGUACUUUGGUCCUCAAUGGCCUCAGUGUCUGGCAUCAUUUGUGAUGGUGAUACUGAUGACCCUCUCCUAGACCCUGAAGGAAUACCAGACACACCAUCUGAUGAUGUGCCUGACCCCUCAGCCCCAGGCCUACCAGAAGGGUGUCCUCUUUGGCGAGCGCUUCAGUUGCACCGUAUGUUUUGACGUAGUCCUGAAACAACAAGCGAUCAACACAUCAAUUCUUGGACUCAAACAGCAGCUGGAGGAUAGGGCCUGAGGCUUUAGGACCAUGACUGAGGACACCCUGGCCUGACACCUGGAUAUGCCUGGCCCAAUCCCAACUGGACCCCGCUACCUCCUACAUUCCUGUUGCUGCCUCCACUGGUUAUUUUUCCCCCUCAAGUCACUCACUCCCCACACACCCAGAAACUUGAAUUCCAUUACUUACCACAACGUCUUUAUGAAAAGCCAUCUGACCAUAGGGCUUUGAAGUGUUAGUACUUUCUCUAUAGUCAUUAUGGAUAUUGUCUGAACCUGCUGGCCAUGAAUACUGGUAUAGCGCUUUCCUUAUUGAAAUGAUGAAUAAAGGAAGACUAUGCUUUCAUUUGCAAUUAAGACAAUGAUGCCCAAGCAUUAGGAAAUCAUUGGAGAAAGAAUUCACACUUCCAGUUUGCACUAAUCUUUAUUUGACUUGCUGUAAUACAGAGAUACAGA